This 687-nucleotide ribosomal RNA is filed under the name Triticum aestivum (bread wheat). RNAcentral's name for it is "partial small subunit ribosomal RNA". Lineage: Eukaryota; Viridiplantae; Streptophyta; Magnoliopsida; Poales; Poaceae. The record is from RNAcentral.
AUGGCUUCCAAUGGUGUCUUCGCUGAAUUACUCCGUGCCUACAAACUUGAUGGAACAAACUACACGGUUUGGAAAAGGAAGAUUAUGUUCUUGCUUACGGCUGAGAAUAUAGAUUAUGUUUCUGAGACCGGGGCGCCUAACGAGCUAGCAGAGGAUGCUACACAUGAAGACAAACAGGAAUACAAUGAUGAACUGAAGCAAUGGACCAAGGACAACAAGACUGCCAGAGUUUAUAUUCUUGGCUCGAUGACUGAUUCGUUGGCUGCGGAAUAUGAGUCGGAUAAAACGGCCUCCGGAAUAAUGCUCAGGCUGGAACAAGAUUUUGGAGAAGUUUCCCUUGUGAAGGUGCUUAGCCUUGUGAAUAAAUUUCUGACAUCAAAGAUGGGUGAUAAAACAGUCAAUGAACACUUCAACAAGCUCUGUGUCUUGGCGGAAGAGUUAAAAACUGCUGGCUAUCCGUUCCAGGAGGAAGUCCAAGUCAUGGUUGUCCUGAACUCUUUACCACCAUCAUGGGAACAAUUCAAGAUUUCUUUUUGUCAUUCAGAGCGCACACUCAAUAUGAGGAACCUGAGGCAACACUUGCUGAUGGAGGAGGACCGCAGGCUCAACUCAGGAAAAGAUAAAGCUUUUUAUCAGCCAGAACUUCACCUUGGUGAGUACAAUAAUAGUGGGAAUCGGAGGAACUAG